AGCGAACGCUGGCGGCAGGCCUAACACAUGCAAGUCGAACGAACUCUUCGGAGUUAGUGGCGGACGGGUGAGUAACACGUGGGAACGUGCCUUUAGGUUCGGAAUAACUCAGGGAAACUUGUGCUAAUACCGAAUGUGCCCUUCGGGGGAAAGAUUUAUCGCCUUUAGAGCGGCCCGCGUCUGAUUAGCUAGUUGGUGAGGUAAAGGCUCACCAAGGCGACGAUCAGUAGCUGGUCUGAGAGGAUGAUCAGCCACAUUGGGACUGAGACACGGCCCAAACUCCUACGGGAGGCAGCAGUGGGGAAUCUUGCGCAAUGGGCGAAAGCCUGACGCAGCCAUGCCGCGUGAAUGAUGAAGGUCUUAGGAUUGUAAAAUCCUUUCACCGGGGACGAUAAUGACGGUACCCGGAGAAGAAGCCCCGGCUAACUUCGUG
RNAcentral lists this ribosomal RNA (433 nucleotides) under uncultured bacterium. RNAcentral's name for it is "partial 16S ribosomal RNA". It matches the Rfam family "Bacterial small subunit ribosomal RNA", at positions 29 to 507 of the family's 1533-position model. The record is from RNAcentral.